UACGUAGGGAGCGAGCGUUGUCCGGAUUUACUGGGUGUAAAGGGUGCGUAGGCGGCGCCGCAAGUCAGGUGUGAAAACUAUCGGCUUAACUGAUAGACUGCAUUUGAAACUGUGGUGCUUGAGUGGAGCAGAGGCAGGCGGAAUUCCCGGUGUAGCGGUGAAAUGCGUAGAGAUCGGGAGGAACACCAGUGGCGAAAGCGGCCUGCUGGGCUUUAACUGACGCUGAGGCACGAAAGCAUGGGUAGCAAACAGGAUUAGAUACC
This 263-nucleotide ribosomal RNA is filed under the name uncultured bacterium. RNAcentral describes it as "partial 16S ribosomal RNA". It matches the Rfam family "Bacterial small subunit ribosomal RNA", at positions 524 to 786 of the family's 1533-position model. The record is from RNAcentral.